This is a small nucleolar RNA of Ornithorhynchus anatinus (platypus), 138 nucleotides long. NCBI's taxonomy places the organism in Eukaryota, Metazoa, Chordata, Mammalia, Monotremata, Ornithorhynchidae. The record is from RefSeq and is a predicted model, not a curated record.
CUCCUCUAAGGGUCGCACCUGGAGAGUUUCCAGGACUCUAUCAGUCUCGACCACGGAAAGGAGAGUCAAGCAGGGACAUAUCCAUUCCAUUCCUAGCUUGGGCAGUGGCUAGCAAGUGGAAGGCAAUCUGCUACAAGU